RNAcentral lists this long non-coding RNA (917 nucleotides) under Salmo salar (Atlantic salmon). RNAcentral describes it as "lncRNA (ENSSSAG00000102237.1)". Lineage: Eukaryota; Metazoa; Chordata; Actinopteri; Salmoniformes; Salmonidae. The record is from RNAcentral.
GUGAAUGAUGGAUAGUAGAUGGACAUGUGAAUGAUGGAUAGUAGAUGGACAGGUGAAUGAUGGAUAGUAGAUGGACAGGUGAAUGAUGGGUAGUAGAUGGACAGGUGAAUGAUGGGUAGUAGAUGGACAUGUGAAUGAUGGAUAGUAGAUGGACAGGUGAAUGAUGGGUAGUAGAUGGACAUGUGAAUGAUGGACAGUAGAUGGACAGGUGAAUGAUGGAUAGUAGAUGGACAGGUGAAUGAUGGACAGUAGAUGGACAGGUAUAUGAUGGGUAAUAGAUGGACAUGUGAAUGAUGGAUAGUAGAUGGACAUGUGAAUGAUGGAUAGUAGAUGGACAUGUGAAUGAUGGGUAGUAGAUGGACAGGUGAAUGAUGGAUAGUAGAUGGACAGGUGAAUGAUGGAUAGUAGAUGGACAUGUGAAUGAUGGAUAGCAGGUGGACAUGUGCAAGAGGGUAAGUCCCAAAUGGCACCCUAUUCCCUUUAGCGUAUGAUGCACUACUUGGGCCCAUUGGGCUCUGGUCAAAAGCAGUGCACUAUGUAGGGAAUAGGGUGCCAUUUGAGGCGUAACCAAUGAGACGGACAGAGCAGCAGGACUCCAGCCCCCAGAGCCAGCCUGGGUCACAGUACAGACAGGAAGUCCAAGCAUGGUCGUGUUCAUAAGUGCACACCGUAGCAAAACGUUUUGCAACUGAAAACAAAAAAAUUAAGUUUCUUAUUGGACUGGAAGUUCAGGUAGUUCCCUCCGUUGCAGUCUGUUUUCUUCCGUUUGGUGCCUUAUGAACGCACAAGCGUUUCUUAUUGGACAAGCUCAGGUAGUCCCUCCCUGUUUCAGUCCUGUGCCUAAUAAACAUGACCCAGGUGUGUGACCAGUGGCCACAGAAGUCACACUAAGGUCACCACAACACUGGACAGUCCAG